GACGAACGCUGGCGGCGCGCUUAACACAUGCAAGUCGAACGGAAAGGCCCUGCUUUUGUGGGGUGCUCGAGUGGCGAACGGGUGAGUAACACGUGAGUAACCUGCCCUUGACUUUGGGAUAACUUCAGGAAACUGGGGCUAAUACCGGAUAGGAGCUCCUGCUGCAUGGUGGGGGUUGGAAAGUUUCGGCGGUUGGGGAUGGACUCGCGGCUUAUCAGCUUGUUGGUGGGGUAGUGGCUUACCAAGGCUUUGACGGGUAGCCGGCCUGAGAGGGUGACCGGCCACAUUGGGACUGAGAUACGGCCCAGACUCCUACGGGAGGCAGCAGUGGGGAAUAUUGCACAAUGGGCGGAAGCCUGAUGCAGCAACGCCGCGUGCGGGAUGACGGCCUUCGGGUUGUAAACCGCUUUCGCCUGUGACGAAGCGUGAGUGACGGUAAUGGGUAAAGAAGCACCGGCUAACUACGU
RNAcentral lists this ribosomal RNA (467 nucleotides) under uncultured bacterium. RNAcentral describes it as "partial 16S ribosomal RNA". It matches the Rfam family "Bacterial small subunit ribosomal RNA", at positions 28 to 506 of the family's 1533-position model. The record is from RNAcentral.